CAGUAGCCGCGGUAAUACGUAGGUGGCAAGCGUUGUCCGGAAUUAUUGGGCGUAAAGGGCUCGCAGGCGGUUUCUUAAGUCUGAUGUGAAAGCCCCCGGCUCAACCGGGGAGGGUCAUUGGAAACUGGGAAACUUGAGUGCAGAAGAGGAGAGUGGAAUUCCACGUGUAGCGGUGAAAUGCGUAGAGAUGUGGUGGAACACCAGUGGCGAAGGCGACUCUCUGGUCUGUAACUGACGCUGAGGAGCGAAAGCGUGGGGAGCGAACAGGAUUAGAUACCCCAGUAGUCCCUGUCUCUUAUAC
RNAcentral lists this ribosomal RNA (301 nucleotides) under uncultured bacterium. RNAcentral's name for it is "partial 16S ribosomal RNA". It matches the Rfam family "Bacterial small subunit ribosomal RNA", at positions 509 to 807 of the family's 1533-position model. The record is from RNAcentral.